This 277-nucleotide long non-coding RNA is filed under the name Capsella grandiflora. RNAcentral's name for it is "long non-coding RNA (CGRA_LNC001777)". Lineage: Eukaryota; Viridiplantae; Streptophyta; Magnoliopsida; Brassicales; Brassicaceae. The record is from RNAcentral.
GAUCAAAAAUCGAACCCACACUCGAUGAAACUAGGGUUCGAACAAAAGAGGAAGAAAACGAAUUGGGGAUUUUUUCUUCUUUCGCCAAAACAGAAAAUAAUAAACCAAAGAAAAAUCUUUUUUUUUAGCCACUCCCGCGGCGCCACGUGGCCUAAGAUUCGGAGUCCAACGCUUGUUGGAGAAGAAGCGGAUGGACCUUGCGUUUUCCCUGUUUGAUUUUUUUGGGCUUAUUUAAAUGCCCGAAGGCCCGAUCACUUGCUGCGAUAAUGAUGCCCUU